Molecule: ribosomal RNA, 440 nt
Filed under: uncultured bacterium
Lineage: Bacteria
Description: partial 16S ribosomal RNA
Rfam family: Bacterial small subunit ribosomal RNA
Source: RNAcentral
CCUACGGGAGGCAGCAGUGGGGAAUAUUGCUCAAUGGAGGAAACCCUGAUGCAGCGACGCCGCGUGAGUGAUGAAGGAUUUCGGUGUGUAAAGCUCUUUCAGUAGGGAAGAAAAUGACGGUACCUGAUUAAGAAGCACCGGCUAAAUACGUGCCAGCAGCCGCGGUAAUACGUAGGGGGCAAGCGUUAUCCGGAUUUACUGGGUGUAAAGGGAGCGUAGACGGCAUCACAAGUCUGGAGUGAAAUGCUGGGGCUUAACCCCGGAACUGCUUUGGAAACUGUGCAGCUAGAGUGCAGGAGAGGUAAGUGGAAUUCCUGGGGUAGCGGUGAAAUGCGUAGAUAUUAGGAGGAACACCAGUGGCGAAGGCGGCUUACUGGACUGUAACUGACGUUGAGGCUCGAAAGCGUGGGGAGCAAACAGGAUUAGAUACCCUUGUAGUC